This is a long non-coding RNA of Nyctereutes procyonoides (raccoon dog), 895 nucleotides long. RefSeq lists it as uncharacterized. The transcript has 3 exons. Lineage: Eukaryota; Metazoa; Chordata; Mammalia; Carnivora; Canidae. The record is from RefSeq and is a predicted model, not a curated record.
UAAGCUCCAGGAGUGCGCUCCAGUGCGUCUGCGCGGUCGCCGCGGCUCUGGGCUGCGGGACUCCGGGGCUUCGCUGCAGUGCGUCUGCGCGGCCGCCGCGGCUCCGGGCUGCUAAGCUCCAGGAGAGCGCUCCAGUGCGUCUGCGCGGCCGCCGCGGCUCUGGACUGCCGGACUCCGGGGCUGCGCUCCAGUGCGUCUGCGCGGCCGCCGCGGCUCCGGGCUGCAGGGCUCCAGGGCUUGCAGGGCUCCGGGGCUGCGCUCCAGUGCGGCUCCGGGCUGCAGGGCUCCAGGGAGACCCCGCCCGCCCGCGCUCUCCGCCUUCCUCCAGGGCCUUCUGAAACUGUAUCCAUCAAGCUACCUACUGAAAACAACCAACCAACCAUUUUGAGGAUAUCAUUGCUAGAUUGGUAACACCCUGAGGAAAGGAAAUAAGUCUCAAUCUUGUGUUUAUCCCAUGGCUUUUAUAGCAGGGGAAGGAACACAGGCCUGAACCUUGGGAUCUUUGUUGACGCUUCCCAUCAGUCAUCCCACCACUAUUUAUGGAGCAGCUAAUAAGGACCACGCAUCGCGGUUAAAGAAUGAAUGAAACACAAUCCCCGCUCCCAAAGAGCAUACCGGUCGGUCGUCCGAGGCACCCGGUAGCAUUCAUUCCUCAUGUAUCUCUCCUCGUAGAUAGCUCUCUUCCGAGUGUCUGGUGCAGGCCCCCACCGCCUGGACAGCGGUCUUGUAAGUGGUCCCUCUGGGGAUGGCCGAAGCUCAGGUCACCAUCUCACAGCCGUCACGAGAUGAGAUCGAGCCCCGCGUCGGGCUCCUUGCUCACUGAGGAGCCGGCCUUGGAUUCUUUCUUCCUCCCCCUCUGCCCAUCCCACUCACUCUCAGUCUCUAAGAAAUAAAU